Molecule: ribosomal RNA, 375 nt
Filed under: uncultured Glomeromycotina
Lineage: Eukaryota; Fungi; Glomeromycota
Description: LSU rRNA
Source: RNAcentral
UUGAAAGGGAAACGAUUGAAGUCAGUCGUACCAGCGGGAAAUCAACCUUUCGAGUGGGGGUUUUGGAGUUUUGAAGAGUUUCAAAACCUUUGAGAUUUCAAAAAUUUCGCUCUUUUGGUGUACUUUCUCGUGGGUAGGUUAACAUCGAUUUUGAUCAUCAUAAAAAGACUGGAGGAAUGUAGCUUCGAUCUUGUAUUGAAGUGUUAUAGCCUUUGGUAAAUGUGAUGAUUAGGAUCGAGGAUUGCAACGAAUACCCUUUUGGGCUAUCCGCCCGAUCUCUGAUACGUGGCCUUGGUAUCGAAAGCUUGCUUAUGGUUUUAAGGUAUUACGGUCAAAAGGUUAGAACGGAUUACAUUCGUUAAGGAUGUUGACGUA